AUAUCAAUAAGCGGAGGAAAAGAAACUAACAAGGAUUCCCCUAGUAACUGCGAGUGAAGCGGGAAAAGCUCAAAUUUAAAAUCUGGCGGUCCUUGCGGCCGUCCGAGUUGUAAUUUAGAGAAGUGUUAUCCGCGCUGGACCGUGUACAAGUCUCCUGGAAUGGAGCGUCAUAGAGGGUGAGAAUCCCGUCUUUGACACGGACUGCCAGGGCAUUGUGAUGCGCUCUCGAAGAGUCGAGUUGUUUGGGAAUGCAGCUCAAAAUGGGUGGUAAAUUCCAUCUAAAGCUAAAUAUUGGGGAGAGACCGAUAGCGAACAAGUACCGUGAGGGAAAGAUGAAAAGAACUUUGGAAAGAGAGUUAAACAGUACGUGAAAUUGCUGAAAGGGAAACGCUUGAAGUCAGUCGCGUCGUUCAGGACUCAGCCUUGCUUUGCUUGGUGUACUUUCUGUUCGACGGGUCAGCAUCAAUUUUGGUCGGUGGAUAAAGGCUCAGAGAAUGUGGCAUCUUCGGGUGUGUUAUAGCUCUGGGUCGCAUACAUCGGCUGGGAUUGAGGAACUCAGCACGCCGCAAGGCCGGGUACUUGUACCACGUACGUGCUUAGGAUGCUGGCAUAAUGGCUUUAAUCGA
RNAcentral lists this ribosomal RNA (626 nucleotides) under uncultured fungus. RNAcentral's name for it is "eukaryotic LSU rRNA". It matches the Rfam family "Eukaryotic large subunit ribosomal RNA", at positions 40 to 647 of the family's 3401-position model. The record is from RNAcentral. Lineage: Eukaryota; Fungi.